GACGUAGGGGGCCAGCGUUGUUCGGAAUUACUGGGUGUAAAGGGUUCGUAGGCGGUGCGGCAAGUUGGGAGUGAAAUCUCUGGGCUCAACCCAGAGGCUGCUUCCAAAACUGCCGUGCUUGAGUGUGGGAGAGGCGCGUGGAAUUGCAGGUGUUGCGGUGAAAUGCGUAGAGAUCGGCAGGAACACCGGUGGCGAAAGCGGCGCGCUGGACCACUACUGACGCUGAGGAACGAAAGCGAGGGGAGCAAACAGG
This 253-nucleotide ribosomal RNA is filed under the name uncultured bacterium. Its description in RNAcentral is "partial 16S ribosomal RNA". It matches the Rfam family "Bacterial small subunit ribosomal RNA", at positions 524 to 776 of the family's 1533-position model. The record is from RNAcentral.